GGGUGUGAUCGUACCAGCACUAAUGUAUCGGAUCCCAUCAUAAUUCUGUAGUUAAGCAUUUGGGCGAAAGUAGUACUAGGAUGGAUGAUUUUCCGGGAAAACUUCGUGUUGCGUUCU
Molecule: ribosomal RNA, 117 nt
Filed under: Brassica oleracea var. oleracea
Lineage: Eukaryota; Viridiplantae; Streptophyta; Magnoliopsida; Brassicales; Brassicaceae
Source: RNAcentral